AGAUUGAACGCUGGCGGCAUGCUUUACACAUGCAAGUCGAACGGUAACAGGCCGCAAGGUGCUGACGAGUGGCGAACGGGUGAGUAAUGUAUCGGAACGUGCCCAGUCGUGGGGGAUAACGCAGCGAAAGCUGCGCUAAUACCGCAUACGAUCUAUGGAUGAAAGCGGGGGACCGUAAGGCCUCGCGCGAUUGGAGCGGCCGAUAUCAGAUUAGGUAGUUGGUGGGGUAAAGGCUCACCAAGCCAACGAUCUGUAGCUGGUCUGAGAGGACGACCAGCCACACUGGGACUGAGACACGGCCCAGACUCCUACGGGAGGCAGCAGUGGGGAAUUUUGGACAAUGGGCGCAAGCCUGAUCCAGCAAUGCCGCGUGCAGGAAGAAGGCCUUCGGUUGUAAACUGCUUUUUGUACGGAACGAAACGGUCCUGGUUAAUACCUGGGCUAAUGACGGUACCGUAAGAAUAAGCACCGGCUAACUACGUGCCAGCAGCCGCGGUAAC
Molecule: ribosomal RNA, 500 nt
Filed under: uncultured soil bacterium
Lineage: Bacteria
Description: bacterial SSU rRNA
Rfam family: Bacterial small subunit ribosomal RNA
Source: RNAcentral